This 91-nucleotide transfer RNA is filed under the name Hapsidospora chrysogenum ATCC 11550. Its description in RNAcentral is "Acremonium chrysogenum ATCC 11550 tRNA-Pro". It matches the Rfam family "tRNA". Rfam says of the family: Transfer RNA (tRNA) molecules are approximately 80 nucleotides in length. The record is from RNAcentral. Lineage: Eukaryota; Fungi; Ascomycota; Sordariomycetes; Hypocreales; Bionectriaceae.
GGUCUGGUGGUCUAGUGGUAUGAUUCUCGCUUAGGGCUUUAACCCUAUGCAUUCCUGCGAGAGGUCCCGGGUUCAAUCCCCGGCCAGACCC